Molecule: ribosomal RNA, 561 nt
Filed under: uncultured bacterium
Lineage: Bacteria
Description: bacterial SSU rRNA
Rfam family: Bacterial small subunit ribosomal RNA
Source: RNAcentral
GGAAUUGACGGGGGCCCGCGCAAGGCGGUGGAGCAUGUGGUUCAAUUUGAUGCAACGCGAAGAACCUUACCAUCCCUUGACAUACAGAGAAGAUACCAGAGAUGGAAUCGUGCCUUCGGGAACUCUGAUACAGGUGCUGCAUGGCUGUCGUCAGCUCGUGUCGUGAGAUGUUGGGUUAAGUCCCGUAACGAGCGCAACCCUUGUCUUUAGUUGCUAGCAGGUCAAGCUGAGAACUCUAGAGAGACUGCCGGUGAUAAACCGGAGGAAGGCGGGGACGACGUCAAGUCAUCAUGGCCCUUAUGGGAUGGGCUACACACGUGCUACAAUGGGAGGUACAAAGAGCAGCCAACUGGCAACAGUGAGCGAAUCUCAAAAAACCUCUCGUAGUCCGGAUCGGAGUCUGCAACUCGACUCCGUGAAGUCGGAAUCGCUAGUAAUCGUGAAUCAGAAUGUCACGGUGAAUACGUCCCCGGGCCUUGUACACACCGCCCGUCACACCAUGGGAGUGGGUUGCAAAAGAAGUAGGUAGUCUAACCUUCGGGAGGGCGCUUACCACUUUGU